AUUGAACGCUGGCGGCAGGCCUAACUCAUGCAAGUCGAACGAGUGGCGGCCGGGUGCUUAAUGUCUGGUCACCUGCCCGAUGGUGGUGGAUUACUACUGGACACGGUAGCUAAUACCCCAUCCCAUUGCAUGUGCCCAGAUGGGAUUAGCUAGUAGGUGGGGUAAAUGCUUACCUACGCGACGUUCCCUAGCUGGUCUGAGAGGAUGACCAGCCACACUGAAACUGAGACACGGUGCAGAGUCUUACGGGAGGCAGCAGUGGUGAAUUUUGCGCUAUGGGCGCAAGCCUGUUGCAGCCGUGACGCGGGUGUGAAAAGGGCCUUCGGGUUGUAAGGUACUUUCAGCGGGGAGGCGUUACUCGCAGAAUAAGCACCGGCUAACUCCGUACCAGCAGCCGCGGUAAUUC
RNAcentral lists this ribosomal RNA (406 nucleotides) under uncultured bacterium. RNAcentral describes it as "partial 16S ribosomal RNA". It matches the Rfam family "Bacterial small subunit ribosomal RNA", at positions 30 to 526 of the family's 1533-position model. The record is from RNAcentral.